ACAUCCCACAUCUCCUUAGCACAGUUGCAUUAAGAUAUCCUGAAAAAUUCAUCAAUGGUUAGUGCAUAGGCAAUGAUAUUUCUAGCUUUAACAUCAUGUUGUCCUUUCCUGUUCUCUUCUUGAGACCACUCAGAAAAAAUUUUCAAAAUAGUUUUUCCAUCAAUAAUAUGAGUUGGCUCAAAAGGACCAUUCAAAGUUGCAU
RNAcentral lists this long non-coding RNA (202 nucleotides) under Vigna radiata. RNAcentral's name for it is "long non-coding RNA (VRAD_LNC012598)". The record is from RNAcentral. Lineage: Eukaryota; Viridiplantae; Streptophyta; Magnoliopsida; Fabales; Fabaceae.